UAUGGCCAUAUCACAUUGAAACACAGGUUACCAUAUGAUCAGCAAAGUUAAGCAACAUUGAGCCUGGUCUAGAUGGGUGACUACAUGGGAAUACCAGGUGCUGUAAG
Molecule: non-coding RNA, 107 nt
Organism: Acanthosepion pharaonis
Lineage: Eukaryota; Metazoa; Mollusca; Cephalopoda; Sepiida; Sepiidae
Source: the annotation of a GenBank genome assembly